CCUACGGGAGGCAGCAGUGGGGAAUAUUGGGCAAUGGAGGCAACUCUGACCCAGCAACGCCGCGUGAGCGAUGAAGGUCUUCGGAUUGUAAAGCUCUUUAAGUGGGGACGAAGAAAGUGACUGUACCCACAGAAUAAGCCUCGGCUAACUACGUGCCAGCAGCCGCGGUAAUACGUAGGAGGCAAGCGUUAUCCGGAAUGACUGGGCGUAAAGGGUGCGUAGGUGGUUUGACAAGUUGGUAGCGUAACUCCGGGGCUCAACCUCGGAUCUACUACCAAAACUGUUGGGCUUGAGUGCAGGAGGGG
Molecule: ribosomal RNA, 305 nt
Filed under: uncultured bacterium
Lineage: Bacteria
Description: bacterial SSU rRNA
Rfam family: Bacterial small subunit ribosomal RNA
Source: RNAcentral